GACCAGCCAAUGCCUUGGCCAAGGCAUUCACUUCAACAAUCUUCUGGGCAGCAAAUGCAAGCCAUGAUUUAAUUUCCUGGUCUAGCUUAGGCUCGUUAAUUAGAUCAACAGCAGUGUGGAGAAGAGAGCAGGAGGUGGAGACCACAAGUUUGUCUACACGACAACAAGAACAUCAGUUCUAGCACAAAUCAACUUGGAUAAAGGAAAUCAUUUACUUCCAUAUCACAAGUACAAUCACAAGAUAAUGUCAAAAAGAAUACCCUUGCCCACAAUGCUCUCAAGCUCCUGUAGGACGCUAAGAGAUGCAGCAAGAUCAUUAGCCCAAAUGUUCCUUCCAUCAACCACUCCAGCAAAAAGGUAUUUUCCUGUAGGGAAUCCAACCUUGAUCAAAUCAAGGGUCUUGGUUCCGCGAACCAAAUCGAACCCAAAGCCAGUAACACCCUUCAAGGAAGUGAGGGUCUUG
Molecule: long non-coding RNA, 463 nt
Filed under: Vitis vinifera (wine grape)
Lineage: Eukaryota; Viridiplantae; Streptophyta; Magnoliopsida; Vitales; Vitaceae
Description: long non-coding RNA (VVIN_LNC002366)
Source: RNAcentral